Long non-coding RNA from Melanotaenia boesemani (Boeseman's rainbowfish), 175 nucleotides. RefSeq lists it as uncharacterized. The transcript is spliced from 3 exons. The record is from RefSeq and is a predicted model, not a curated record. Lineage: Eukaryota; Metazoa; Chordata; Actinopteri; Atheriniformes; Melanotaeniidae.
AAUGGAUAAAUGAAGAGGAAGACACAGGACAAGCUGGAGGGACUACAUAUCUCGGCUGUCCUGGGAACGCCUCGAGAUCCCCCCAGUUGAGCUGGCGAAUGUGGCCGGGGAGAGGGAAGUCUGGGCUUCCCUGCUUAGGCAGCUGCCCCCGCGACCCGACUCUGGAUAAGCUGUA